CGUGUCUAGGAAGUGGAAAAGGAACUAGGAUUCGGAGUAUGUUUGGCUUUGGCUCCGCCCCAGCCUCCUGACGUUCAAGUCAUGUUUUCUGAGGAUCUCUGGAGCUGCCAUGUUGAGAACAGCAUGAAGGGGCCAACAGCAUAAGCUGGGAGAGACAGGAGGCUACUGCAGUAAUCCAGGCUAGAGGUGAUGGUGGCUUGGACCAGAAGGGGGUCGGAUUCUGGAUGUAUUCUGAAGGCAGAGUCGGCUGCAUUUACUGAUUGGAUAAGUGUGAGAGCAGAGCACAAGAAUACUGCUUUGUCAUCAGAAUAUCGCCAGCUUGAACAAGGAUGACUAUUCCUCCUUUGCCAGGACAGCCAGCUUGAAGACCUGCCCCACCUUGCUGGGCUCCCUGUCACAGUCUAAACAAAGAAAGGCCAUAUGAGGACACAGCAAGGAGGUGGUGGUCGCCUGCAAGCCAGGAAGAGAGCUCUCACCAGAAACUGACCAUGCUGGCACCCUGACCUUGGACUUAACCAGCCAACAAAACUGACCUUGAAGCCUUCUGGUUAUGGUGACCUGAAGAAGUGGGCAAAUCCUCUUGGCCAAAAGCAGGUGUGACACUGGACAGAUUGAUCGGAUAAGCCAUUUCAGGUCCCAGCUGCAUGAUCCAUGUUUCAGAUUCCCCUUUCUUCUUCCUCCUUGCCUUCCCCCUUCUCUCUCCCUCUAACCGAACCCCUUCCUUUGACAAGUAUUUAUUGAGAGCCAGGCCAACCUGGAUGGGAAAACCAUUAAAACAUGAUCACACAAGUAAAUGUAUUAUGAACAACUGUGAUAACAGCUACAAAGGAAAACUACGUCUGAUACCCUUGAGGACCCCAGUCAAUCUCCUACUUCACAAAGAACCUGUGUUCAAGUGACAUCCUGACUUCUCGGGGAUGACUUGUUGGGAAGCCGAAGUUCUCGGGGGACGUCUGUCAGUGAACUUCGGAGAACGCGUGUCGUGGGAUGUUUAGGACAGUGUCAGAGAGGAUUCUAGAAGUGGAGCUAUGCCUGGCAUACAGGCGAGUGCUCAGACAAGAACUGAUGAACGUGGAACAAAUUGCACCCCCUGUGUAGCUGCCGCUCUCAUGACAUCCUGAACUUUUCCUAUGAUGCAUGGAUCAUACAGUUCUUGGGGGAUUUGUCUCUUGUUCUGCUCCCCAGGGGUUGCAAGCUCAAGGAGGGAAGGACCACAUCCCACGUUCAGUGCCCUGUCCCUGGUGUCUUGCACAGUCCCUGGCACCUGAGGUGACCAGAAAACAUUUAGUGGUGGCUUUCUACCCAGGAUCACACUGAAUUGACACGCCAGCCUCAUGAGGCACAGAUACCUACGCCCUUUCUACGUGUCGGGGAGACCGAGGCUCAGAGAGAUGAAAUAACUGUCCCACCAGGCAUCGCAGCUUAGAAGAGGUGGAGGCAGCCUUUGAACGUGGAACUCUACUACCUCUGAAUGCAGACAUGACCUGAGAAGGAGAAUUUUGACUUCUGCUGCUCGUUCUCUCUCUCUUCUUAGUUCCUUUUACUGAGUCUCUUAACCUCACUCAAUCCUCUUAUCUGCAAUCGGCUUCCAGAGAGGAUUCAGAUCACCUUGUCUCGCAGGCAGCUGCAUCAAGAUCCCCGCAGUCCCUGUAACUGGUGGUUAUACGGGUACUUGAAAUAGCCUCCCUCUGCUGCCUGCUCUCUCUCCGUCUGCUUGUUCUGGGCUCUGCAGAAGUGCUCAGCAGUGCCGGUGCCCAGUUCCUGCAGGGCUGGAUUCUGCCGUACAUGCUGUAAAAAGGCGAGGGCUCUGCCCCAGGCUUUCCUGUUCCCUGCUGAUCACCCGCCUCCUCUCCUCCAGGAGCUUAGCCUUGGGUGGCAAAUCCCGGCCUCCCUUCCUGCGCUGGAUUUGAGGCUAAUGGCAUUUCCUCUGCCGGCUUUGGAGGUAUGCCCGGCGGCCCCCAUGCUGCUCUCUGCAGCCUGCCUGCCCUGCCCUCACUGCAACAGACGGAGAAAAUAAAUGAAAAUGAGGUGAGUGGAGAGGAAACCUAGUGAGCGGGAGAGGGACUGGAAUCCAAGACGGAGGCUUGAGCUAAAUGGAGCUGUGGGAUCUUUAAGCCACAAAGAAGACCAACAGCAAAGCAAAGGGUAACAGACCAGGGGCCAUCUUUGAAAUCCAAGAUUUUAUCUAAAGGCGGUGGCGGCUGUGGGUUCUGAAGGAGUGAAACGGAGCAGGACCCUGUGGGGCUCCUGGGAAAUAGGCUUCACUCAGCCUCCAUGACCUUCCCUGAGUUCCAACUAGCAGGUUCAAACCUUGUAAUCAGGGAAGGGAGGGGAUGCAGAGACAAGGGAGGAACAGUCAAGAAACAAUAGUACAGCCUUGGGGCAGGGUCCUGGUUCCCCCUCAGGGAUACACACAACAACACCUUUGAGCUGUUUUGCAGAUACUGAAACCCUCACCAGGUGGGAGAAGUUAACUGUGUGCUGCCCACAAGCACGCAGACCCCAGACUGGGUGGAACCGGAAGGUUGAUGAUGCCGACUCCCACUUACCUCCCCACCAACCAAUCAGAAGAGUGUCCACGAGCUGAUCACGCCCUCUUUGAACCAUUACUGUAAAACUUCUCACUACCCCCUCCAGGUCCUGACACACAGUUUUGAGGGCAUUAGCCCUCUGUGGCCCCCUUUUCCUGGCAAAGCUGUUAGGGGAAGAACACUGACUGAAACCACCCGCCCUGGCCAGGCACCACAGUAACCACUUGCAUGAGUUAUCUUACAAUAGGAGGUCCUGGUAAGGAACAUGGAACUAACAAGCCACCACCAACCGGAAGAAUUCGGGAAAAGUCAAAAGGAGACACCAGUCCACAUGUACUACCAACCUCCCAGCAUCCUCCUCGCUGGACUCCAUCUUGGGUGAGCAAUGCACGUGCCACCAGAAAGGACCCUCAAUCAGAAUGGUUGGCCAGAGACAACCCGUAAACUCACCCGAUCACCAUAAAACCCGAGACUGUGAGCCACGUGGCAGAGCCGUCCUCCUGGCAUCCCUCACCCUCCUGCUCUACCCCCAGGCGCCCCUUCCCAAUAAAGUC
This is a long non-coding RNA of Globicephala melas (long-finned pilot whale), 3085 nucleotides long. RefSeq lists it as uncharacterized. The record is from RefSeq and is a predicted model, not a curated record. Lineage: Eukaryota; Metazoa; Chordata; Mammalia; Artiodactyla; Delphinidae.